This 468-nucleotide ribosomal RNA is filed under the name uncultured bacterium. Its description in RNAcentral is "partial 16S ribosomal RNA". It matches the Rfam family "Bacterial small subunit ribosomal RNA", at positions 28 to 507 of the family's 1533-position model. The record is from RNAcentral.
GACGAACGCUGGCGGCGUGCUUAACACAUGCAAGUCGAACGGAAAGGCCCUGCUUUUGUGGGGUGCUCGAGUGGCGAACGGGUGAGUAACACGUGAUUAACCUGCCCUUGACUUUGGGAUAACUUCAGGAAACUGGGGCUAAUACCGGAUAGGAGCUCCUGCUGCAUGGUGGGGGUUGGAAAGUUUCGGCGGUUGGGGAUGGACUCGCGGCUUAUCAGCUUGUUGGUGGGGUAGUGGCUUACCAAGGCUUUGACGGGUAGCCGGCCUGAGAGGGUGACCGGCCACAUUGGGACUGAGAUACGGCCCAGACUCCUACGUGAGGCAGCAGUGGGGAAUAUUGCACAAUGGGCGGAAGCCUGAUGCAGCAACGCCGCGUGCGGGAUGACGGCCUUCGGGUUGUAAGCCGCUUUCGCCUGUGACGAAGCGUGAGUGACGGUAAUGGGUAAAGAGGCACCGGCUAGCUACGUG